RNAcentral lists this ribosomal RNA (253 nucleotides) under uncultured bacterium. Its description in RNAcentral is "partial 16S ribosomal RNA". It matches the Rfam family "Bacterial small subunit ribosomal RNA", at positions 524 to 776 of the family's 1533-position model. The record is from RNAcentral.
UACGAAGGGUGCGAGCGUUGUUCGGAAUUACUGGGCGUAAAGGGUUUGUAGGCAGAGAUGUAAGUCAAGUGUGAAAUCCCCGAGCUAAACUUGGGACGUGCAUUUGAAACUGUGUUUCUUGAGUAUCGUAGAGGGUGGUGGAAUUGUAGGUGUAGGAGUGACAUCCGUAGAGAUCUGCAGGAACAUCAGAGGCGAAGGCGACCACCUGGCCGAUUACUGACGCUGAGAAACGAAAGCGUGGGGAGCAAACAGG